GAUUAAGCCAUGCAUGUGUAAGUAUAAAUAGUUAACUUUGAAACUGCGAAUGGCUCAUUAUAUCAGUUAUAGUUUAUUUGAUGAAGAAUACUAACUGGAUAACCGUAGUAAUUCUAGAGCUAAUACAUGUAUAAAGUCUUGUAGACUGCAUUUAUUAGAAUGAAAACCAUAGGUUUCGGCCUAUUCGUGAGUAAUAAUAACUAAUCAUAUCGUAUGCUUAUGUAACGAUGUGUCUUUCAAGUUUCUGCCCUAUCAGCUUUCGAUGGUAGUGUAUUGGACUACCAUG
RNAcentral lists this ribosomal RNA (286 nucleotides) under Blastocystis sp. Its description in RNAcentral is "partial small subunit ribosomal RNA". It matches the Rfam family "Eukaryotic small subunit ribosomal RNA", at positions 42 to 348 of the family's 1831-position model. Lineage: Eukaryota; Bigyra; Opalinata; Blastocystidae. The record is from RNAcentral.